GGAACUUUGGCCGAGCGGUUAAGGCGCUAGCUUAAGGCGCUAGUUCGAAAGAGCGUGGGUUCAAGUCCCACAGGUUUCA
This is a transfer RNA of Taphrina deformans PYCC 5710, 79 nucleotides long. It matches the Rfam family "tRNA". From Rfam's summary of the family: Transfer RNA (tRNA) molecules are approximately 80 nucleotides in length. NCBI's taxonomy places the organism in Eukaryota, Fungi, Ascomycota, Taphrinomycetes, Taphrinales, Taphrinaceae. The record is from Rfam.